Molecule: ribosomal RNA, 468 nt
Filed under: uncultured bacterium
Lineage: Bacteria
Description: partial 16S ribosomal RNA
Rfam family: Bacterial small subunit ribosomal RNA
Source: RNAcentral
GACGAACGCUGGCGGCGUGCUUAACACAUGCAAGUCGAACGGAAAGGCCCUGCUUUUGUGGGGUGCUCGAGUGGCGAACGGGUGAGUAACACGUGAGUAACCUGCCCUUGACUUUGGGAUAACUUCAGGAAACUGGGGCUAAUACCGGAUAGGAGCUCCUGCUGCAUGGUGGGGGUUGGAAAGUUUCGGCGGUUGGGGAUGGACUCGCGGCUUAUCAGCUUGUUGGUGUGGUAGUGGCUUACCAAGGCUUUGACGGGUAGCCGGCCUGAGAGGGUGACCGGCCACAUUGGGACUGAGAUACGGCCCAGACGCCUACGGGAGGCAGCAGUGGGGAAUAUUGCACAAUGGGCGGAAGCCUGAUGCAGCAACGCCGCGUGCGGGAUGACGUCCUUCGGGUUGUAAACCGCUUUCGCCUGUGACGAAGCGUGAGUGACGGUAAUGGGUAAAGAAGCACCGGCUAACUACGUG